RNAcentral lists this ribosomal RNA (433 nucleotides) under Pantoea sp. F131. RNAcentral's name for it is "bacterial SSU rRNA". It matches the Rfam family "Bacterial small subunit ribosomal RNA", at positions 117 to 546 of the family's 1533-position model. The record is from RNAcentral. Lineage: Bacteria; Pseudomonadati; Pseudomonadota; Gammaproteobacteria; Enterobacterales; Erwiniaceae.
CUGGGGAUCUGCCCGAUAGAGGGGGAUAACCACUGGAAACGGUGGCUAAUACCGCAUAACGUCGCAAGACCAAAGAGGGGGACCUUCGGGCCUCUCACUAUCGGAUGAACCCAGAUGGGAUUAGCUAGUAGGCGGGGUAAUGGCCCACCUAGGCCACUAUCCCUAUCUGGUCUGAGAGGAUGACCACCCACACUGGAACUGAGACACGGUCCACACUCCUACGGGAGGCAGCAGUGGGGAAUAUUGCACAAUGGGCGCAAGCCUGAUGCACCCAUGCCGCGUGUAUGAAAAAGGCCUUCGGGUUGUAAAGUACUUUCAGCGGGGAAGAAGGCGGUGCGGUUAAUAACCGCGUCUAUUGACGUUACCCGCAAAAGAAGCACCGGCUAACUCCGUGCCAGCACCCGCGGUAAUACAGAGGGUGCAAGCGUUAAUC